CAUUAGAUGGCUGAAUGUAAGCAAUGGAAUUUUAAACCAUUUUAUAGUAAAUUAACAUCUACUUCUAAUGA
RNAcentral lists this transfer RNA (71 nucleotides) under Aoria nigripes. RNAcentral describes it as "tRNA-Lys". The record is from RNAcentral. Lineage: Eukaryota; Metazoa; Arthropoda; Insecta; Coleoptera; Chrysomelidae.